CCUACGGGAGGCUGCAGUGGGGAAUAUUGGACAAUGGGGGGAACCCUGAUCCAGCCAUGCCGCGUGUGUGAAGAAGGCCCUCGGGUUGUAAAGCACUUUCAGUGAGGAAGAACGCCUGGUGGUUAAUACCCAUCAGGAAAGACAUCACUCACAGAAGAAGCCCCGGCUAACUCCGUGCCAGCAGCCGCGGUAAUACGGAGGGUGCGAGCGUUAAUCGGAAUUACUGGGCGUAAAGCGCGCGUAGGUGGCUUGAUAAGCCGGUUGUGAAAGCCCCGGGCUCAACCUGGGAACGGCAUCCGGAACUGUCAAGCUAGAGUGCAGGAGAGGAAGGUAGAAUUCCCGGUGUAGCGGUGAAAUGCGUAGAGAUCGGGAGGAAUACCAGUGGCGAAGGCGGCCUUCUGGACUGACACUGACACUGAGGUGCGAAAGCGUGGGUAGCAAACAGGAUUAGAUACCCCUGUAGUC
Molecule: ribosomal RNA, 465 nt
Filed under: Vreelandella stevensii
Lineage: Bacteria; Pseudomonadati; Pseudomonadota; Gammaproteobacteria; Oceanospirillales; Halomonadaceae
Description: partial 16S ribosomal RNA
Rfam family: Bacterial small subunit ribosomal RNA
Source: RNAcentral